CCUGGUGUUCAUAGCGCUGUGGAACCACACCGAUCCAUCUCGAACUCGGUUGUGAAACGCAGCAGCGGCGACGAUAGUUAGGUGGCAGCACCUCGCCAAAAUAGCACGAUGCCAGGA
This 117-nucleotide ribosomal RNA is filed under the name Cyanobacteria bacterium K_Offshore_surface_m2_239. The record is from RNAcentral. Lineage: Bacteria; Bacillati; Cyanobacteriota.